This is a long non-coding RNA of Myotis daubentonii (Daubenton's bat), 867 nucleotides long. RefSeq lists it as uncharacterized. The record is from RefSeq and is a predicted model, not a curated record. Lineage: Eukaryota; Metazoa; Chordata; Mammalia; Chiroptera; Vespertilionidae.
ACAGCAACCGCAUAGCAAACACGAUGCACCACCACAAAGGCAUGGGACCUGUAAUAAGCACAUAUGGCCAUCUGAGAGCUUUCAGUGGACUCCUUCCUGACAUAGGUCCCUACCUACCAACCAAGGGUGGAAGAAAAGUUUUUACUCCCCUAUUUUAUAAAUAGUGAGUUUAACCCACUUGUGGAUUAUAAAAAUCAACUGACCAGAAUUUUUUUUUAAUGUGGUAGAAAAAUUGUACAGCAGAUGGUAAAGACAAAGCACAGUCUAACCUCGCUGAGAAUUGUACGCCCUGGGACAUGGGAGCUAACAUCGGAAUGCAGUCUGUCCUCCUUUGGAGAACUGCCUAUCAUUGUGGAAAGAUUUACAACCUCGGGGCACCUAGUCCUGGAGCCACCUGCUCUUUACAACCCCCCGCCCCCCCCCCCCCCCCCCGCCCCUACUACCUGUAAUCUGGCUGGCGCCGCUUUCUGUAACUCUGCCCCUCCCCCCUCCCCCCCCAGCCUACAUGACUUGUAACCUGUAAUGAUUGUCCCAUGCUCAUUUUCCCAUACCUGUAAUUCCUACUUCUCCACGUAAUCUUGUCCUUCUACCCAAUAUAAGCAGUUGCCUUAUGGUGGGGUGCAGAGCAGAUUUUUGUGGAUGACCUGCUGCUCUCCCAUACUGCUGGCAUUAUUGGAAUAAAUGCUCAUAUAUGAUUCAACCCUGUCUCUGCUUAAUUGGCUGAAGUAGUGACAGGCUGCCCAGACCCCUUGGUUGUCCGGUUACAAAGGGUAACCAGAAUUUAUGGCCUAGUUAAGAAGAGACUGACAACAUAAAUGCACCAUAACAUACGGUAUUGUGAUGAGUACUAUGAAGAAGUAGCCUAAG